This 337-nucleotide ribosomal RNA is filed under the name uncultured Sphingobacteriales bacterium. RNAcentral describes it as "bacterial SSU rRNA". It matches the Rfam family "Bacterial small subunit ribosomal RNA", at positions 1044 to 1382 of the family's 1533-position model. Lineage: Bacteria; Pseudomonadati; Bacteroidota; Sphingobacteriia; Sphingobacteriales. The record is from RNAcentral.
CAUGGUUGUCGUCAGCUCGUGCCGUGAGGUGCGGGUUAAGUCCCAUAACGAGCGCAACCCUACCUUUAGUGCCAUCAGGUAAUGCUGGGGACUCUAAAGGAACUGCCUACGCAAGUAGUGAGGAAGCGGGGAUGACGUCAAAUCAGCACGGCCCUUACGUCCAGGGCUACACACGUGCUACAAUGGCCGAUACGAGAGGGCAGCUACCUGGUGACAGGAUGCAAAUACUCCAAAGUCGGUCUCAGUUCGGAUCGGAGUCUGCAACCCGACUCCGUGAAGUUGGAUUCGCUAGUAAUCGCGCAUCAGCCAUGGCGCGGUGAAUACGUUCCCGGGCCUU